RNAcentral lists this small RNA (28 nucleotides) under Bombyx mori (domestic silkworm). Its description in RNAcentral is "ovarian small RNA-25680". The record is from RNAcentral. Lineage: Eukaryota; Metazoa; Arthropoda; Insecta; Lepidoptera; Bombycidae.
UCAGCCUAUACUAGGAAACUCAUGGAGC